GCCAGGUGUGGUAGCACACACCUGUAGUCCCAGCUACUUGAGAGGCCAAGGCUGGAGGAUCAAUUUGAGCCCAUGAAUUUAAGACCAGCCUAGGCAACACAGUAUAGCUCCAUCUUAU
Molecule: small RNA, 118 nt
Filed under: Marmota monax (woodchuck)
Lineage: Eukaryota; Metazoa; Chordata; Mammalia; Rodentia; Sciuridae
Source: RNAcentral